AUUUAUAAAGCAAAACGUAAAAAAUUGAUAAGGAUUAUCAAAAAUUGAUUAACAUUAACUAAUGAGCAAGUCGGGGUACAUUUUAAAUUGGCACUUGGAUUCGCGACAAGAAGUCGACGAAAUUCGGUUCAGUUUAUACAUGCGGUCAUCGAUGGUUACUAGCCCGGUCAAUGAGUUUAAAACAUUCGAAAAUUAAGGAUAAAUUUCACAUUUAAACGACAGUGAAAUUUUUGAAAAUAUUUCGCGUGUGUUUUGAAAUAAAUUGGAGAAGGUUUUUUGACCAGAUGAUCUAAUGGAGGAUCCGCUGCUGGCUGUUAAAACGGCCAAAAAUCUGUGAUUGUUGCGAUACCUUGAUUUUCCAAAAGGCUUUUUUCUUCAUACCAGUAGAACUUUCCGUAGUCUAGUAUCUCAAGUACAACACAAUAUGUAUUUGGUCACUACAAACAAGUCUGCGUCGUAAUGUUUUUUUUUAAAUUUAGAAUUGGUGUUUAAUAAUAAUAAAAAAUGACGUAACCAUG
This is a long non-coding RNA of Dendroctonus ponderosae (mountain pine beetle), 518 nucleotides long. RefSeq lists it as uncharacterized. NCBI's taxonomy places the organism in Eukaryota, Metazoa, Arthropoda, Insecta, Coleoptera, Curculionidae. The record is from RefSeq and is a predicted model, not a curated record. The transcript has 2 exons.